RNAcentral lists this ribosomal RNA (364 nucleotides) under Oxyrrhis marina. Its description in RNAcentral is "partial Eukaryotic large subunit ribosomal RNA". It matches the Rfam family "Eukaryotic large subunit ribosomal RNA", at positions 19 to 385 of the family's 3401-position model. The record is from RNAcentral. Lineage: Eukaryota; Dinophyceae; Oxyrrhinales; Oxyrrhinaceae.
UGAGUACCUGCUGAACUUAAGCAUAUCAUUAGGCAGAGGAAAAGAAAGCAACUGCGAUGCCUUUAGUAAUUGCGAAUGAAAUGGGCGUAGCUCGUAUGAAGCAAACUGACUUCGUGUCAGUGAUGUGCUGGUGCGGCAGUAGCAUGCGAAGACGUGUGCGCCAUGUGCAAGUGAAAUCUUGUGCCAAGCGGGUGACAGUCCCAUGCUGGCGUACCCGACCUCGGGCAGUGCGCUGCACACGGUGUAUGCACUUUGUAAGUGGUGCAUCGCUUAGGUGGUAACCAUCACCUAAUGCUCAACAUUGGAUUGAUGUCAAUAGCGAACAAGUACCAUGAGGGAAAGAUGAAAAGAACUUUGAAAAGAG